UUGAAAUUUUGAGGAGGAAGAUUGAAAGCGAAGCUCUGUUGCUGGCUUCUCUGCAUUGUGCACGUCUUUACUUUCUAUCUACCUUUCUCUCAUACCUCACACACACCUGUGCACCCUAUUGUAGGUCCUCGAAAGAGGAUCUAUGUAUUUUUUGCAUCACAUCCUAUUAUUGUAUGGUUCAUAGAAUGCAUUGGAGAUAAUAAACUAUA
RNAcentral lists this unclassified non-coding RNA (209 nucleotides) under uncultured fungus. RNAcentral describes it as "sequence contains ITS1, 5.8S rRNA gene". Lineage: Eukaryota; Fungi. The record is from RNAcentral.